CUGGUUACAGGAGACACUGAGAGCGCAAACAGACGCAAAUAGGUAGACUGGCAGUAAUAAGAUACAGCUUAGAAUAAAGACCUGCUGGUAUUCACAUAUCAUGUGAUAUUCACAUUUCAGAAAUGUUUCUGGCACGCUGUAAGCCACUCCCAUUUACUUAAACAUCUGAGCACAGAGCUGUAGACGCUUAGAUUUCACAAGUGUUCAGUGUGAUCUCAGCUCUUCAGAAACUAUCAGGCCUCAAAUCAGAAGUUCAUCAUGCCGGGGAUGGACAGAGAUAUUGUGUUGGAGGCUCUCUCUGCUCUCACUGACCGUAAAGUGAGACCUUACACUGAACGGAAACAGAGCCAUCUCUUUGUUUCUAGGCGAUGACCAGACCGGCGACAGUGAGAUUUCGGAUUUACGGAACGAGCUGUUUGUGGACUUGGACAGCUUUUUAGACCCACAAUAUGAUUAUGAUUUCCGAGAGAUGAGCGAUUCCUCAGCGUGCUCUCGUGGAGGUGAGCCGUACAAGCGGCCGGUCGGGUGGUACCGCUUCGCUCUGAAGGUGAAGGAUAAAUACCCAGACGGAAACGCAUGGCUCGGCUCUGUACACUGGAGGAGUUAUUCUGAAGCCGGUGAGUGGCCCGUUUCCUUCCACGGCACAAGCAUCGAAGGCGCUAAAGGAGUCGCAAGCACACAUUACAAAGCUGGUCCACGUGAGGCAUACGGGCGUGGAGUUUAUUCAACUCCUGACAUUACAAUUGCAGAUAGUUAUGCAAUGACCAAGAAAUUCACAUCCAAGAAAACCAGGAAAACCUACAAAGUCAUCAUGCAGAACCGAGUUAAUCCAACAAAACGGAAGAUUAUCAAAGAUAAAAACUUCUGGCUCAUUGAGGUUCCUAGCGAAAGCACAGCAGCGCAAGAGAAAGAGAUUGUGGAGAGUUCAAUCCGUCCUUACGGCAUUCUCAUUACAGAAGUGUAAAUCACACAGAACUGAAGAAGUGCAGUCUUAAGGCUUUAAAAUGUUCAAUAACGUCUACUAUUCUUUUAAACAAAUAAUAAUGUAGGCGUGUUGUUGGUGAGGUAUUUUUUGUUGGCUGUUGGUUAGGUAUGUUUUUGUGUGUGUUGGGGAAAUCCUCUAUUUCAUGUUCAUUCUGAAUAUUUUGAAGAUCAGAAUGUACUUACCUUCAUACAAUAAAUAAUAUAUUGGUGUGGUGAUUGUAAGGGUUUAAAAAAAAAGACAUUUCAUUAUUCAUUACAUAAAUGUGGCCUAGUAAUAAAAUUAAUAAAAGUAAUAAAAGAUCUACUAUGACACAAAAUGAUAAUAAAAUUAUCAUAAAGGAAAUAGUAC
Long non-coding RNA from Ictalurus punctatus (channel catfish), 1333 nucleotides. The record is from Ensembl. Lineage: Eukaryota; Metazoa; Chordata; Actinopteri; Siluriformes; Ictaluridae.